Non-coding RNA from Lyngbya majuscula, 250 nucleotides. The record is from Rfam. NCBI's taxonomy places the organism in Bacteria, Bacillati, Cyanobacteriota, Cyanophyceae, Oscillatoriales, Microcoleaceae.
GUCAGCACCCUCCUCUGAAGAGACCAGGCGUAGAUAGCCUCCCUUCAGGUAGCUGACCAGCCUAAGACCUUGACCCAAGGGGUUGCCCUUAAGGUAAAGGAUCUACGUUGUUGGCAAGUGUUAAAGUUCCUACCUUGGGGUACUUUGCCCGCUCCAAGCUCUAGAACCGAGUCGUUAAACAAUUAGACGAGGGCUAAGACAGUGCGGUUCGGAAAGUACCGACCAACAACGUUGGCGAGGCAAACGUUAC